Molecule: ribosomal RNA, 322 nt
Filed under: uncultured eukaryote
Lineage: Eukaryota
Description: partial 18S ribosomal RNA
Rfam family: Eukaryotic small subunit ribosomal RNA
Source: RNAcentral
CCCUUAGAUGUUCUGGGCCGCACGCGUGCUACACUGAGUGGAUCAGCGGGUCAGGUUGCGCGAAAGCGUUUCCUAAUCUUUAAAUCCGCUCGUGAUGGGGAUUGACGGUUGCAAUUUUCUGUCAUGAACGAGGAAUACCUUGUAAGCGCGGGUCAUCAUCCCGCGCUGAAUACGUCCCUGCCCCUUGUACACACCGCCCGUCGCUCCUACCGAUUGAGUGGUCCGGUGAGGCUUUGGGAUCUGAGCGGAAAGAGCGUUUCGCUGUUUCUGCUCGGAAAACUCAGUCGAACCUUAUCAUUUAGAGGAAGGAGAAGUCGUAACA